CCUUGACAUCCAGAGAACUUAGCAGAGAUGCUUUGGUGCCCUCGGGAACUCUGAGACAGGUGCCGCAUGGCUGUCGUCAGCUCGUGUUGUGAAAUGUUGGGUUAAGUCCCGCAACGAGCGCAACCCUUAUCCUUUGUUGCCAGCGGCUCGGCCGGGAACUCAAAGGAGACUGCCGGUGAUAAACCGGAGGAAGGUGGGGAUGACGUCAAGUCAUCAUGGCCCUUACGGCCAGGGCUACACACGUGCUACAAUGGCGCAUACAAAGAGAAGCGACCUCGCGAGAGCAAGCGGACCUCGUAAAGUGCGUCGUAGUCCGGAUUGGAGUCUGCAACUCGACUCCAUGAAGUCGGAAUCGCUAGUAAUCGUAGAUCAGAAUGCUACGGUGAAUACGUUCCCGGGCCUUGUACACACCGCCCGUCACACCAUGGGAGUGGGUUGCAAAAGAAGUAGGUAGCUUAACCUUCGGGAGGGCGCUUACCACUUUGUGAUUCAUGACUGGGGUGAAGUCGUAACAAGGUAAGCGUAGCGAG
RNAcentral lists this ribosomal RNA (530 nucleotides) under uncultured bacterium. RNAcentral's name for it is "bacterial SSU rRNA". It matches the Rfam family "Bacterial small subunit ribosomal RNA", at positions 979 to 1509 of the family's 1533-position model. The record is from RNAcentral.